Molecule: ribosomal RNA, 448 nt
Filed under: uncultured bacterium
Lineage: Bacteria
Description: bacterial SSU rRNA
Rfam family: Bacterial small subunit ribosomal RNA
Source: RNAcentral
UUUCGAAUCAUUCACAAUGGGCGAAAGCCUGAUGGUGCGACGCCGCGUGAGGGACGAAGGUCUUCGGAUUGUAAACCUCUGUCACCGGGGAAGAAACGCUUCAUUUUAAUAGAAUGAAGCCUGACUUAACCCGGAGAGGAAGCAGUGGCUAACUCUGUGCCAGCAGCCGCGGUAAUACAGAGACUGCGAGCGUUAUUCGGAUUCACUGGGCGUAAAGGGUGCGCAGGAGGCCGUGUGUGUGAGGCGUGAAAUACCGAGGCUUAACCUCGGAAUUGCACCUCAAACUACACGGCUAGAGCAUUGGAGAGGGUAGCGGAAUUCACGGUGUAGCAGUGAAAUGCGUAGAUAUCGUGAGGAACACCAGAGGCGAAGGCGGCUACCUGGACAAUUGCUGACUCUCAGGCACGAAAGCGUGGGGAGCAAAAGGGAUUAGAUACCCCCGUAGUCC